Molecule: ribosomal RNA, 117 nt
Filed under: Propithecus coquereli (Coquerel's sifaka)
Lineage: Eukaryota; Metazoa; Chordata; Mammalia; Primates; Indriidae
Source: RNAcentral
UUCUACGGCCACACCACUCUGAACGCACCCAAUCUCGUCUGAUCUUGGAAGCUAAGCAGGCUCCAGCCUGGGUAGUACUCGGACCAAAGAAAGGAUGGGUCGACCCGACCACAGAAA